RNAcentral lists this long non-coding RNA (692 nucleotides) under Ostreococcus sp. 'lucimarinus'. RNAcentral's name for it is "long non-coding RNA (OLUC_LNC000035)". Lineage: Eukaryota; Viridiplantae; Chlorophyta; Mamiellophyceae; Mamiellales; Bathycoccaceae. The record is from RNAcentral.
CGCCCUCGAGUCCUCCCCGUCCUCGCUCGAUUUCCCGCUCGUCGACGUCGGUUCGCUCGAUCGCUCGAACGCCUCUCGCGCUCGCGCGUGUCUCAGCGCAUCAAGCGUACACUACGAUAAAAUCGCGCGUCACGCGCGCGCGCGUCGUCAGUCACGUCGUCCCGAUCGUUUCCUUCCCUCUUCCUCCGCUCGGCGUCGAGAUAUUUCCUUCUAUCCACAACCGCCUCGGCGUUUGAACCAUCGUCCCGUCCUUCGCCGUCGUCCGCGCGUCCUCGCCGACCCUCUCUCUCGCUCGCGCGCGUCGCGCAACCUCCCCGCGCGUCGUUCAUCGCGCGCCGUUCGCCCGCCUUCGCCUCGCGCGCGCGCCUCGGCUCGAUAAUCCAUCGCCCCGCGUUCGAUCGAUCGUCCCUCGCGUCGUCGUCGUCGUCGUCGUCGUCGUCGUCGUCGUCGUUCGCGCGCGUCGCGGCGCCUCGCGCGCGCGCCGCGACGCGCCGCGCGAUCGUCGCGCCGAAGUCGCACCUCUAUCGCCAGGCGUAUCGCGCCCCCGCGCGCGAGCGCGUCGCCGUCCGCGCGCAUCGCUGUGCGGUGCCGCGCGACGCGGCCGACGCCCUCGCGGGUUCCGCGCGAACAACGGGCGCGAGACGGCGCAGAGUACGCGUCGUCGAUCGGGUCGAGUGUUUAUGCACACGGGG